UACGAAGGGGGGCUAGCGUUGCUCGGAAUUACUGGGCGUAAAGCGCACGUAGGCGGAUUGUUAAGUCGGGGGUGAAAUCCUGGAGCUCAACUCCAGAACUGCCUUCGAUACUGGCGAUCUCGAGUUCGGGAGAGGUGAGUGGAACUGCGAGUGUGGAGGUGAAAUUCGUAGAUAUUCGGAAGAACACCAGUGGCGAAGGCGGCUCACUGGCCCGGUACUGACGCUCAUGCACGAAAGCGUGGGGAGCAAACAGG
RNAcentral lists this ribosomal RNA (254 nucleotides) under uncultured bacterium. Its description in RNAcentral is "partial 16S ribosomal RNA". It matches the Rfam family "Bacterial small subunit ribosomal RNA", at positions 524 to 776 of the family's 1533-position model. The record is from RNAcentral.